Molecule: transfer RNA, 79 nt
Filed under: SAR86 cluster bacterium SAR86A
Lineage: Bacteria; Pseudomonadati; Pseudomonadota; Gammaproteobacteria
Description: tRNA-Arg
Rfam family: tRNA
About the family: Transfer RNA (tRNA) molecules are approximately 80 nucleotides in length. Their secondary structure includes four short double-helical elements and three loops (D, anti-codon, and T loops).
Source: RNAcentral
UGCGCCUGUAGCUCAGUUGGACAGAGUACUUGGCUUCGAACCAAGGGGUCGGGAGUUCGAAUCUUCCCGGGCGCGCCAU